ACGUGUUGUAAGUGCCAAGAAAAAGCGUGUAACUACGUAGAACACAAACUCCCUCCCAAAUAUAGUAGUAAGACAUUAUCACUCUCACUCACCCAACGUAACAUGCAACCAAAUGUUGAGAAUCCAUCUCCAUUUCUUUCUCACCUUAGCAAACUGAAAAAAGAAAAACUUCACAAACAAAGCAGAGAAACCAAAGAAAGAUGAGAACACCAACAUCAUCAAAAACAAAAGUGACAGCAUGUUGUAGCAAAGUAGGGUUAAAGAGGGGGCCGUGGACACCAGAAGAAGACGAGAUUUUAACAAAUUAUAUAAAUAAAGAAGGCGAAGGACGGUGGCGUACUCUGCCAAAGAAGGCGGGGCUCCUCCGUUGCGGGAAGAGCUGCCGCCUCCGGUGGAUGAAUUACCUCCGUCCUUCCGUCAAACGCGGCCAUAUUUCGCCUGAUGAAGAAGAUCUCAUCCUUCGCCUCCAUCGCCUCCUUGGCAACAGGUCCUCCAAUAAUUUUUCUUCAUAUAUUAAUUGUUGUUUAUAUUAUUGGCUUAUUAUUCUCUUCCUCAACUCUGAUUUAUAUCACUUUUAGUUAUAUUAUAUUUUUCUCUCUUUUUUUUUUAUUGUGAGAUUAAUAGAACUCACACAUCGGUCUAUAUUGUGUUGGGGAUUUUGACCGAUACCACUAACCUAUAAGCCUGAAUGGUUUUCUUUUACUAAUCUUUUUAUCGGCUCUUGAGUUUUUAUUAGGGUUUGCAUUAUCUUUGAGUGUAAUGUUUUGUUUAAAUUUGGUUUUAGUGUCGGCCUAACCCCACACCACAAUGGUGGUUUUUGAGUAAAAAAAUAGCUUUGGUUUUAGUGUAAUAUUGGAAGAUUGAUUUUGAGAUUAGAGAAAUUUUCGAAAGUACAUUUUAUGUUGAUUUUUUAUGAAAAUUUAGGUUUAUUUUUAUUUUUAAUUUGAAAGGAAAAUAUGUUUUCAUUUUAUUUGUGGAAAUUAAAGUAUAUCUAUUAAUUAAAUAGCUGUUAUUUUUUAUUUUUUGAAUAAAUCAAAGAGGCCCUAAUAUAUAAUCUUACUUUACAAUUCCAAAUGUCUAAAUGAAAGUUCAAUUGUGAAGUCAGAGAUCUUGAGAUUGAACUCAACCCCCACAAAAAAAAAAGGACAAUUUAGCACUCACAAAUGUUAUUCUUUUCCUUCUAGUCUAUCCUUUAAAUCUUUAAUAUUUAUUUAAUUAAAUAUGAAUUUUCUUUCUUAUAUUUUUUAUUACUUUGGAAAUGUUGUAGGUGGUCCUUGAUAGCUGGGAGAAUUCCAGGAAGAACAGAUAAUGAGAUAAAGAAUUAUUGGAAUACUCACCUUAGCAAGAAGUUAAUCAGCCAAGGAAUAAAUCCAAGAACUCAUAAGCCAUUAAUAAACCAUAAUUGCUCA
This 1409-nucleotide long non-coding RNA is filed under the name Nicotiana tabacum (common tobacco). Its description in RNAcentral is "long non-coding RNA (NTAB_LNC010126)". Lineage: Eukaryota; Viridiplantae; Streptophyta; Magnoliopsida; Solanales; Solanaceae. The record is from RNAcentral.